Molecule: ribosomal RNA, 253 nt
Filed under: uncultured prokaryote
Description: partial 16S ribosomal RNA
Rfam family: Bacterial small subunit ribosomal RNA
Source: RNAcentral
GCGAACUGCGCAAACGUUAUUCGGAAUCACUGGGCUUACAGGGUGCGUAGGCGGCCAGUCAGGUCCGGUGUGAAAUCCCUCAGCUCAACUGAGGAAUGGCAUUGGAAACCGAUUGGCUUGAGUGAGCUAGAGGUGCACGGAACUUCCGGUGGAGCGGUGAAAUGUGUUGAGAUCGGAAGGAACACCAGAGGCGAAAGCGGUGCACUGGAGCUUGUCUGACGCUGAGGCACGAAAGCCAGGGGAGCAAACGGGA